CCUACGGGUGGCAGCAGUGGGGGAUAUUGCACAAUGGGGGGAACCCUGAUGCAGCGACGCCGCGUGGGUGAAGAAGCGCCUCGGCGCGUAAAGCUCUGUCAGCAGGGAAGAAAAUGACGGUACCUGAAGAAUAAGCCCCAGCUAAUUACGUGCCAGCAGCCGCGGUCAUACGGAGGGUGCAAGCGUUAUCGGGAUUGACUGGGGGUAAAGGGGGCGCAGAUGGCGAGGCAAGCCAGGAGGGAAAGCCCGGGGCCCAACCCCGGUAGUGCGGUUGAAACUGCGUGGCUGGAGUGCAGGAGGGGGAGGCGGAAUGCGUGGUGUAGCGGUGAAAUGCGUAGAUAUCAGGAGGAACACCGAUGGCGAAGGCAGCCUGCUGGACUGCAACUGACGUUGAGGCGCGAAAGCGUGGGGAGCAAACAGGAUUAGAUACCCGAGUAGUC
This 440-nucleotide ribosomal RNA is filed under the name uncultured bacterium. Its description in RNAcentral is "partial 16S ribosomal RNA". It matches the Rfam family "Bacterial small subunit ribosomal RNA", at positions 338 to 795 of the family's 1533-position model. The record is from RNAcentral.